GUGAGGAAUAUUGGUCAAUGGGCGAGAGCCUGAACCAGCCAAGUCGCGUGAAGGAAGACGGCCCUACGGGUUGUAAACUUCUUUUGCAAUGGAAUAAAAAGAGUUACGUGUAAUUCAUUGUAUGUACAUUGCGAAUAAGGAUCGGCUAACUCCGUGCCAGCAGCCGCGGUAAUACGGAGGAUCCGAGCGUUAUCCGGAUUUAUUGGGUUUAAAGGGUGCGUAGGCGGAUUGGAAAGUCAGCGGUGAAAGUUUGCAGCUUAACUGUAAAAUUGCCAUUGAAACUGUCAGUCUUGAGUGCAAAUGAGGUAGGCGGAAUGUGUUGUGUAGCGGUGAAAUGCAUAGAUAUAACACAGAACACCAAUUGCGAAGGCAGCUUACUGGGAUGCAACUGACGCUGAGGCACGAAAGCGUGGGGAUCAAACAGGAUUAGAAACCCUAGUAGUCC
RNAcentral lists this ribosomal RNA (445 nucleotides) under uncultured bacterium. RNAcentral's name for it is "partial 16S ribosomal RNA". It matches the Rfam family "Bacterial small subunit ribosomal RNA", at positions 354 to 796 of the family's 1533-position model. The record is from RNAcentral.